UGGCUCAGUGGUAGAGCAUGGUGUGUGCAACGCCAGGGUGGUGGGUUCGAUUCCCAC
This 57-nucleotide transfer RNA is filed under the name Salmo salar (Atlantic salmon). It matches the Rfam family "tRNA", at positions 8 to 63 of the family's 71-position model. Rfam says of the family: Transfer RNA (tRNA) molecules are approximately 80 nucleotides in length. Their secondary structure includes four short double-helical elements and three loops (D, anti-codon, and T loops). Lineage: Eukaryota; Metazoa; Chordata; Actinopteri; Salmoniformes; Salmonidae. The record is from Rfam by way of RNAcentral.